RNAcentral lists this long non-coding RNA (442 nucleotides) under Homo sapiens (human). Its description in RNAcentral is "HSALNT0322480". Lineage: Eukaryota; Metazoa; Chordata; Mammalia; Primates; Hominidae. The record is from RNAcentral.
GAGCAAUAAAGCUGUUUAUUUCACCUGGGUGCAGGUGGGCUGAGUCCGAAAAGAGAGUCAGCGAAGGGAGAUGGGGUGGGGCUGUUUUAUAGGAUUUGGGUAGGUAAAGGAAAAAGGGGGGUUCUCUGGCGGGCAGGAGUGGGGGGUCACAAGGUACUCAGUGGGGGAGCUUUUGAGCCAGGAUGAGCCAGGAGAAGGAAUUUCACAAGACAAUGUCAUCAGUUAAAGCAGGAACAGGCCAUUUUCACUUCUUUUGUGGUGGAAUGUCAUCAGUUAAGGCAGGAACUGGUCAUCUGGAUGUGUACGUGCAGGUCACAGGGGAUAUGAUGGCUUAGCUUGGGCUCAGAGGCCUGACAGUGAUCUAAUUCUUUUUUAACAACUGCAAACAUAGAUGUACUGUGAUUGAUUUAACGUAUACCCUAUUGUCUUAGUCUGUUUGGGC